GGAUCCACCCAGAGUACCUAGAUAAAGUCCUCUAACUGGUUGAAGUGCAUGUGUGAGUUUCCUGACUGUCACAGUGGCUCCGUAAAGAGGGGAGCUGCCAUCUUCUCCUUUUACAGGAGCCUCAGUUCCUUCUGCUUAGGGGAAAGAGACACAGAGACCCUCCUGAUUUCCUCCAUGACCAUCUUGUCCAUUUUUCCCCAGGUCUUAGGUCACUGGGAUAUGUGUACAGGCAGGAUUGUGAUAUCCCUGGACACAUUGGCAUCAUAGUCCUCCCUACCUCAGAUGAUACUGUUUGCUCUGAAACCGGCUAUCCCUGAUCAGCUGCACCAGCCUCUCCAGCCGUCGUCACCAGAGAUGAUGAAUUUUACCUUGUUGAGUGUUGGGUGUUUUGUUUUGCUAGCUGCCUAUUUGCGGGCUCCGUUCUGGGACACAGCUAAGCUCCUUGGAAGCACUCAGCUCUACUGAAGCUCUGCCUUAAGAAUUUCAUACUUGAGACAGGAGCAGUCUGGUUCAUCUUUCCCUUCCACGGAUUCAGAGUUCUGUCUCCACACAGCGCUCUUCUCUGGUGCUGUGGGCUGAGGAUUCCAGAUAUCUUGGUCUCCUGAAAUGUCAGCUUUGUCAGCCGACCUCCAGGCCUUGCUGGGCUUGGAGAGCAGUGUUCUUCCCAGCCCCAUGGACUGGAAAUUUUGGGCUGCAUGCCAGGGCAGCUGUGGGUGCACUUCAUUUGUUCCCCAUCUCUCUUCACUGCCUGAUGUCCCGUCUUUGUAAAGUGCUAUAUUAUAUACCAUCAGCCUCCAUCCUCACGAGUCCCUCAUCCAAGAAUAAGAAAAGCUGUGGGAGACUCUGGAGGCUAGCCCAGCUACAGAUCUGGAGGCUAGCCCAGCUACAGACCUGUCACUGCAUUCCUUGAAGUUUCAGAUCUGAAAACAUCUAGACCUAGCUCAAGAUACAUGGAAUUCCCUUCCUCCCUCGCCAGGUCCUCCUUCCCUGUGCACCCCAAGAUCUCAGUGCCUGUGGAGGACCCUGGAAGCAAGCUCUUGCAGGUAUCCAGGGGAAAGACAUCUGUCUAUUAAAUGUGGUGGUAACUGAGACAGGGUCUAGAAUCAGCUGAGAGACAGGCCUCUGGCACACCUUGCUUAUAUUAAUUGAUCUGGGAAGAUAACGUCUUAACCGUGGGUGGGAUCCUGGACUGCAUAAAUGGAGAAAGUUAGUAGGCAGCCACAUGUACUCAUUCCCCUGCUGCCUGAUUGUGGAUGCGAUGUCACCAGCUGCUUGGACCUCUGCUGCCUUGACUUCCCCCAUGGUGACAGAUUGUUCCUUGGAGCUGUGCAUUAGUUACUGUCUGUCGCUGUGAUGUAACAUCAUUUUCAAGGCUUAUGAUUCCAGAGAGAUGAGUCGAUGAUGACGGGAGCAGAGAUGUGGCAGCUGGAGCUGGAAGCAGGGCCUCACAUCCAAACCAAGAGCAGGAAGCAGAGAACACAAGCUGGAGGCGGGGGGCAUAAACUCUUGGAGCCUGCCCCUAAUUACUUACUACUUCCAACAAGGCCACACCUCCUAAGCUUCCCCAAACUCUGUGGAGGACAUCUUAUUCAAACCAGUACUAACAGGUAGGCCCUUUCUUGCUUGGUUGCUUUUGUCCUAGUAUCCUGUCACUGACGUAGUUAAAGAAAUCAAGACAUGAAGGGAAAGUGACUCUCAUCCCUGCCGUUCCCUCUCAUCAAUGAAAGAAAAGCUCUACCGGCUGGCAUUCGGGAGCACCAAGCUACAUCAGUUACCUCACUGUUUAAGUGGGAAAACUGAGGCUCUGAGGUAUAGAAAUUUCACCAUGUCCUACAGCAAGUUGGGACGUCUAGAACCUGCUUCACUCCCUCUGUGGGAUUCCCCACCCAAGAGAGUUCCCAGAAGGCAGUUUUAGGCAUGGAACCCCCCUUGCCACACAGUGCAGUGGAGUUAGGGGUGUGACAGGUAUUUUUCCCCACUCUGUCCCUAACCCUUCCUCAGUACAGCUCUGUGGGAAGCUGAGGGUCACCUGACACCUCCAGCUACAGAAGUACUUCAAGAAGCUUACCAGUGCACGCAGAGUUGAGCAUAUGUGUAAUCAUGGAGAUUUUCUUCAUUCGUGCAGUUUUGAGCAUCCCAGCUUGUCAGGUGGGAGACUAGAGUUCAAUUCCCUGGUGGGGAAGCAAAAGGCCUUGUUUGAGGUUGGGGUGGUCCAAUCAGGAAAGUGCACGCUCUCCAGUAGGAGAACCUGAAAUCCAUCCACAGAAGCCAAGGGAAGCCUGAAUGUAGAGGCACAUGCUGGUUGAUCUAGCUGAAUCUGUGGGCUCCGGGCCAGUGAGAGAUCCUGAAUCAAAGUAUAAAGUACAGAGAGACUGAGGGGAUAGCCAUCUAAUAGCAGGCCCAACCACAGACCCAUCCCAUGGGCAAGCACCAAUCCCUGGCACUG
Long non-coding RNA from Mus musculus (house mouse), 2446 nucleotides. RefSeq annotates it as predicted gene 831. The transcript is spliced from 3 exons. The record is from RefSeq and is a predicted model, not a curated record. Lineage: Eukaryota; Metazoa; Chordata; Mammalia; Rodentia; Muridae.